RNAcentral lists this long non-coding RNA (240 nucleotides) under Elaeis guineensis (African oil palm). Its description in RNAcentral is "long non-coding RNA (EGUI_LNC002625)". The record is from RNAcentral. Lineage: Eukaryota; Viridiplantae; Streptophyta; Magnoliopsida; Arecales; Arecaceae.
GCUGUGCCUCUCCGAUAAAAUGUGACAUAGUGGGAUAGCUCGAGUCGACUGCAAAGUUGGAGUAGGUAGACAUCCACGAAGACUAGGCAUCUACAAAGAAAAUCCACACAUGUUAGAGAAGAUGGUGGGGGGUUCUCUAGUAGGGGACCUUUCGAUGGUUAAGUCAGAGAGUAUCGAAGAGGGAGAACAGUCAAAGAAGAUAGUAAGCACAAUAGUCUAGACUAAAGUCUCCCUUUUUCC